AUGCAUGUUAUUCCAUAUCACAAUAAAAAGGAAUUAGAAUCGCUACAAGAAGCAAGAGUGCCACCCUGGGUGCCUAGUCCUUUCCAUACAUUCAGCCACUGGAGGAAGCUUAAAAUGAUAUGGAUGGUGGGGGAAAGGAGAUUAAAAAAAAUAUAUUAUCGGGUUUUAAAAGGUGGAAACGAAUCCGAACGAAGAAGCCGGGAUAAUAACCUAAGCUCUACAGCAGCUGCAAGGAAGACGACACACAACAGCUUAUUCGAAGGAGACGAGGAAGGGGGGGCACUGGGAUCCAAAUGCUUUAAAAGCAGAGGAUGGGGCUCCAGAGGCCGAGCAGUCCGUCACUCGAUUCCCGAAGAGAGGGGCAGCUCUGGGCCUGCCCGCUCGCCUCCUGGGGCUUCGCUUUCUGCCAAGGAGAUGGAUGAAGGUAGGCAGAGAAGCGCAGGUGGCGGCGGUCGCUCGAUCCGGCGGGGCUUCGUAUCUCCGGGGGCGGCCGCGGAGAAGGAGCGGCCGACAGUCUCGGGGGGGGAAGCAAUCACUCAGCGUCGCCGCUCCACCCGAGGGGCAGAGAGAGACAGAGAAGGCGAGCGGUGCCGCCGCCGCCGCUUCCAGGACAGCCUGCGGCUCGGCAAGGAGAGCGCUUCGGCGCCGCUGCUUCGGCCGCCCCGGAGCCUUCGGCCCUCCUCAGGCUUGCUGUCGGGUCCCGAGGCGGAGCCCAGUUUCGCGCGCAGCCUCCACAGACCCUCCCCAGCCCCAGGCGGUCGACUGCGGCGGAGUCAGGAGCCGCGGAAGCUCCAUGGAGGCCGACUCGGCUCCGGCCGCUUCGUGGGUCCCUCCUCUUCCUCUUCCCACCCCCACCCCCCUCGCUCAGUCCGGCCGCGCGACCAACAGCCGAAAGGCAGCUCGCGGCGCCAGCAGCCCCACCCACUGAGCAACCGUCAAGCCUUUCCCUUUCCCCCCUCAGCUUGGAAACAACGGCAGCCGGCAGCGCCCGGGCGGGUUCUUACGGCGGAACCACCAACUGCAACCUGCCGGGUAGAUUCUCGCGCCGCGUGCGCAGGCGCACUGCGCCAACCCAUUGCUCGCCCUCGUCCUCUCUCCCUCCUCCCCCCACGCACCGCCACGAGGAGGUGGGAGGGAACUCGAGUGAAAAGUCACACCCACUCCUAG
Molecule: long non-coding RNA, 1167 nt
Filed under: Podarcis muralis (Common wall lizard)
Lineage: Eukaryota; Metazoa; Chordata; Lepidosauria; Squamata; Lacertidae
Description: lncRNA (ENSPMRG00000006362.1)
Source: RNAcentral